Molecule: ribosomal RNA, 459 nt
Filed under: uncultured bacterium
Lineage: Bacteria
Description: partial 16S ribosomal RNA
Rfam family: Bacterial small subunit ribosomal RNA
Source: RNAcentral
CCUACGGGAGGCAGCAGUGAGGAAUAUUGGUCAAUGGGCGGGAGCCUGAACCAGCCAAGCCGCGUGAGGGAAGAAGGUACUGCGUAUCGUAAACCUCUUUUGUCAGGGAACAAAGGCGGGUACUAGUCCCCGGAUGAGCGUACCUGAAGAAAAAGCAUCGGCUAACUGCGUGCCAGCAGCCGCGGUAACACGGAGGAUGCGAGCGUUAUCCGGAUUUAUUGGGUUUAAAGGGUGCGCAGUCGGCCCGUAAAGUCUGCGGUAAAAGCCCGGGGCUAAACCCUGUCUAGCCGUUGAAACUGGCAGUCUUGAGUACAGUAGAGGUAGGCGGAAUUCGUGGUGUAGCGGUGAAAUGCUUAGAUAUCACGAAGAACUCCGAUUGCGAAGGCAGUUUACUGGACUGCAACUGACGCUGAGGCUCGAAAGUGUGGGUAUCAAACAGGAUUAGAUACCCGUGUAGUC